GUCAGGGUGGCGUAGUGGUCAGCGCUUCUGCCUCGUUAGCAGAAGAUUCGGGUUCGAAUUCCGGCCUUGGCA
Molecule: non-coding RNA, 72 nt
Organism: Schistocerca serialis cubense
Lineage: Eukaryota; Metazoa; Arthropoda; Insecta; Orthoptera; Acrididae
Source: the annotation of a RefSeq genome assembly